RNAcentral lists this long non-coding RNA (2707 nucleotides) under Equus caballus (horse). RNAcentral's name for it is "lncRNA (ENSECAG00000037305.3)". The record is from RNAcentral. Lineage: Eukaryota; Metazoa; Chordata; Mammalia; Perissodactyla; Equidae.
GCAGACGUUGCAGUUCAGUCUUUACGGGGGUGACAAUGAACCUGCAUGACUUAUUUUAAGUCACCAACACCUGCCAAUGAGCGCGGUCAUCUUGGAAGCUCUCAACUGUCUUGGAGCAUUAAGGCAGUCAAGCUGCAUUAAUCCUGUUGGGACCCACCUCAGAUCUCAUGUCCCAUUAGCCCCUCUGAUGACAAUCUCCAGCCUUCAAGCGUCAACUCGGAGUCCUUCAGAACCAAAGCCGAACUCUCCCGAGAGAGCUGUGGUCCUGGGGUUGGAAACCAGGCCUGCCGAGAGAGAGGGGGUUGGCUCCCACGGGUGGGUGUUAGGGUCCUCUGCACCUGUCCUUCUGCCUGGACUGGAGGCAAAGCCAACCUGGGCUGCCCCUCAGUCUUUGCAGAACUCAAUGCUCGUGCUUUCAAUAGUGUGAAAACAGGCAGGUUGGUGGUGCCCAGGCUGAGACAGAAAAACAACUUGGUGGUUUGACAGAACCUUCGAGCAGCCACCACGAGGCCACUGCUGCUUCUCCUCUUCCCUCUCCCACUCGUCCAACUGUCCUGAGGAAAAUCUCACCCUCCGUUUGUCCUCUGCGGGCCUGUCAUUCUGUCCUCUGGCUGCAGGGAAAGGACGCUGUCCGCAUUUCCACAAACAGCUCGAUGCAGGGGCUUUGUGGAGGGGCCUUUCUUAUCUGGGCUCUCCUUUCUCAGAACAAUGUUCAGGGCCAGUUCCAAUUUGGGGAUUAAUCUAACCAAAGGACAGAAUCUACUCCUCUGCACAGAGAAUGCUCUCUGGUCCUUUGUUUAUCUGUCUUCCUCCCACCCCCUCCCUGUUUCACCCUAAUCUUUGGAGCUUAAAAAGGCUUAGAAUGCUUCUUAGGCAUGGAAUCGUUUUUAUAAGGCAACUAUUGAUGAGCUAAACAGAAAUGACUUCCAAACAGCGUGUGAACUUUCCUCCAUGACUGCAUUGCCGGAUGCCAAGCAAAAGGGGAAGAAGAGUCUUCCUAUUGUCCUAUGUCAUCAGAGAUCUAAUUCCUGGGAGAAGGCUGACCAUCAGGAUGUUCACAUAUGGAACGUUGAGCCUGCCUUCAAGGCUGCGAUGCAGGGUAGCCUUCUCCAUUCACCCAAUUGGUGACAAUCAGCUCAGUGGUCUCACCCCAGCGCAGACCGAGCCCUGGGCACUCUGACCACAGCCUGAGAGGAGAGCUACUUCCUUUCGCAUCAUCCUACUGCUGUCCUUCCAUCGAAUCACAGCAAAAUUCUAUUAUAAUGAAAAGAUUCUAUUAUAUUAGAAUCACAGCACUCCAGUUGCCCCUCGCAGUUUCAACCCUACUUUCACAGGCGUUCUCUCAUUUGCUGCUUACCACAAUGCCCUGAGGAAAGGAACAAGGAGAUAAAAGAGCAUGGGCUGAGAAGAGUCCAGCAGCUUCCGGAGGGUGACUCACCACCGAGAGCAUCUGAUGGAAAGGCUUUUUAUCUGGAUGCCUGGCACCAGGCGAAGCGUUCCUCCGCGGUGGGCUCGGACCCGGAGAACAGCGCUUCUGAGCCGUUCCUUUACCAGCAGAGACUUCCAUGGAAGGUCCCACCUCACUCCGUGGCCCUUCCCUCCCUUGCGUGUGGGCUCAGCCUUGGGACACAGCUAUAGCACAGUGGUUAGAGCACAGGCUCUGAAGUCAGGCUGCCUGGGUUCAGAUCUUUCUUCUGCCACUCAGUCACUACGAGAUCUUAGGGAAGUUUGUUAACGUCUGUGCACGUCAGCGAUCCAUCUGUCAAAGGGGGAUGAUAAUUCCCUCCCCGUCAUGGCGAGGAUGGAGUGAGGCAGUACAUGCUUAGAAUAGUUCCUGGCACAGAGGAAUUUCUCGCUCUCCGUCUGCUUCCAGCCUCCCAUUUCCAGCUGCCCUCAGGAAAUUGCCACUGGAUGUCCCCAAGGCACCUCCAACGCCACGAGCCUGAAACAAAGCACAUCCUCUCCUCUGUGCCGAGACCCCCUUCCUGCUGAAGGCGCCCUUAUCCUCCCAGCCCGUGGAGCUCCAGGUCAGAAGCAGCUUUGAUGGCACCUCUUCCUUCCUUCCUGAUGUGCCAGGAGUCGCCAAGCCCACAAAGCUUCCUUCCCAGUCUCGCUGGGGUUCGUCUCCCGCAGCACCUUGGCCUGAGUUCCAGCCCUCCUCCCCUCUCCUCAGGACUCAGGCCCCUUUCCAGUGCGCCCGGCACUGGCUGCCAGAGACAUCUGGCCACUGCAGGACUCUUACCACAUACCCGCCCAACAAGCUGCGGUGAUUCUCUUCGCCUACUGCUGCAAGUCCAGGGGCCCCGUAAAGCAGCCCCUCUCUGACUUCCUUUCCUGUCAGAUCUGUCUUCUCACCCAUCAUUCAGUUUCCUGUGCUCCCUCUGGCUAGAAUGCCCUCCCCCUUCGUGUAUCCAGCCGUAACUACCCAUGAGUCAAGACCUGGAAAGGUAAAUUCCAUUGUAUGCUGUUUUCCCACUCUGCUUAAUAAAUAUAACAGCCCGGAGCUCUCUAAUGAGAACUCUGAGAUUAUUUGCAUGGUCUAUGUGAAAGAGAGCCAUGAUUGAUUGGUGAUGUCUCCCAUGUCAUGGGGUUGAUGUCGUCAUGGGUGUAGGAGGGAGAAAUAGUUGACUAGUGAUGUCUGCCAUGGGUAAAGGAGGGAGCCAUGGGUAAAGGAGGGAGACACAGAAGUAAGUUGCUUUGUCUUGAG